AAAAUUUUACAGGAAUUUAAAGAGGGAAAGAUGAUUUCCCGAGAGAUCUGCCAUGGUAGCAGCACUGGGAAGGCAAAGAGGCCACUGCACUGGUAGAGAACUGAGAGGAAAGCCAAAAUGGUGCAGAGAAGAACACGAUUCUGGAGGAUGCCAGUGGUGGGGAUAGCGGCAUUUCUUUUCAAAAUGAAGCUGGCGUAUGGAGAAAUAUACUUAAUUCACAGUCGUAUGUGUCCGGAUCAUGGAAAUUAUAAGGCGAAGUUAAGAGCGGAAGCUUGAAAUCAAGUUUUCCUGUCCUUCUCUUAUUUCGCUCUGGAGGCAUAGUCCUCAGUCACACUUGCAAGAAAUCAUUCCUCAUUCAAAAUUCAUU
Molecule: long non-coding RNA, 367 nt
Filed under: Chinchilla lanigera (long-tailed chinchilla)
Lineage: Eukaryota; Metazoa; Chordata; Mammalia; Rodentia; Chinchillidae
Description: lncRNA (ENSCLAG00000025235.1)
Source: RNAcentral